Molecule: ribosomal RNA, 253 nt
Filed under: uncultured bacterium
Lineage: Bacteria
Description: partial 16S ribosomal RNA
Rfam family: Bacterial small subunit ribosomal RNA
Source: RNAcentral
UACGUAGGAUGCAAGCGUUGUCCUGAUUUAUUGGGUUUAAAGGGUGCGUGGGCGGCCUAUUAAGUUAGUGGUGAAAACGUUCGGCUUAACCGGAUACCCGCCAUUGAUACUGAUAGACUUGAGUGCGACAGAGGGUGUUGGAAUGUGUGGUGUAGCGGUGAAAUGCUUAGAUAUCACGCAGAACACCAAUUGCGAAGGUAGAUGCCUAUGUCGUAACUGACGCUGAGGCACGAAAGCGUUCGGAGCAAACAGG